UGGGGAAUUUUGGACAAUGGGCGAAAGCCUGAUCCAGCAAUGCCGCGUGUGUGAAGAAGGCCUUCGGGUUGUAAAGCACUUUUGUCCGGAAAGAAAUGGCUCUGGUUAAUACCUGGGGUCGAUGACGGUACCGGAAGAAUAAGGACCGGCUAACUACGUGCCAGCAGCCGCGGUAAUACGUAGGGUCCAAGCGUUAAUCGGAAUUACUGGGCGUAAAGCGUGCGCAGGCGGUUGUGCAAGACCGAUGUGAAAUCCCCGAGCUUAACUUGGGAAUUGCAUUGGUGACUGCACGGCUAGAGUGUGUCGGAGGGGGGUAGAAUUCCACGUGUAGCAGUGAAAUGCGUAGAGAUGUGGAGGAAUACCGAUGGCGAAGGCAGCCCCCUGGGAUAACACUGACGCUCAUGCACGAAAGCGUGGGGAGCAAACAGG
Molecule: ribosomal RNA, 429 nt
Filed under: bacterium
Lineage: Bacteria
Also listed under: 1 other name
Description: partial 16S ribosomal RNA
Rfam family: Bacterial small subunit ribosomal RNA
Source: RNAcentral